This 1039-nucleotide long non-coding RNA is filed under the name Capsicum annuum. Its description in RNAcentral is "long non-coding RNA (CANN_LNC001489)". Lineage: Eukaryota; Viridiplantae; Streptophyta; Magnoliopsida; Solanales; Solanaceae. The record is from RNAcentral.
UCCAAUAUAAGCUGUUAAAUUCCAACGCGGCAUUACAUUUGAGUGAAACAAAAAUAAUCCUUUUUUUUUUUAACAAUUGUUCAACAUGAUCUGUUAAAUUUCAACGUGGCAUUACAUUUGGGGUGGGGUGGAUACUACGUGAUGCCACCUCAGCACCAAAUUCUUUUUCUUUUUCAUUUUAAAUUUUUCUUCUUUUUUCUUUUCCCUUCUUCCAUCAAGACCCGGAUUUGACAAUCUCUUUAUCGUCUUCAAUGGCAGAAAAAGUUUCAAAAUAGCAAACUGAAAAGAAUUAACACUGAAACCCCCUCCCAAAGUCACACCUUUUCACCAUUAACCCUCUUAAUUUUCAAGAAAAUACCGCUUCCCAAAUACUGCAAGACAACCCAUUAUCAAAAUAAAAGAACUCCUCCAAAAAUCCUCACCUACACCCACAUACCAAAAUCCAAGCAACCAACUUUAACAAGAACAUACAACUUUAGAACACCAAGAAACAGUUCAUUAGAAUAAAAUGUACAGCCACUAAAAUCAGCAAAAUUGUGCAAAUGGAUCCAAAACAGUUGAACAGUAAUAAAUAUUAACGUGUAGUACAGAAAGUGGGGCAAGAGAAGUUGGGUAUAUGAGAAGUUACGGUGCUCAAUCGGUUCAUCACAGCUGGCGGAGGUGGUGGUGAUGGUAGAGGAGGUGAGAAUGAUGGAUCUGCUGGGUUUCAAAUCUGGCAACGGUGAUGGCAGCGAUGGUUGUAGCAGAGACGGAGAAGGCGACUAUAGUGGAUUUGGUCGGAAGUUUGGAUUUAUUUAAUUAGAUAAAAGAAAAAAUGAAAGAAAAAGGAAAAAAAAUACUACGAAUCAAAAUUUUGGUGGAGGCGGCAUGCCACAAAACACUUAUCUCACUCAAAUAUAAUGUCACGUUGAAAUUUAAUUGGCCAUGUUUGACAAUAGUUAAAAAGAGAAAUAAUUAUUUUAAGUUUCUUAACGAAAAAAAUACACUUGAUACAAUAGUACGACUAGAGGUAAAUUUAAUCACUAAAUUAAGGUAGAGG